Molecule: small nucleolar RNA, 85 nt
Filed under: Chrysochromulina tobinii
Lineage: Eukaryota; Haptophyta; Prymnesiales; Chrysochromulinaceae
Description: Chrysochromulina sp. CCMP291 Small nucleolar RNA Z122
Rfam family: Small nucleolar RNA Z122
About the family: Z122 is a member of the C/D class of snoRNA which contain the C (UGAUGA) and D (CUGA) box motifs. Most of the members of the box C/D family function in directing site-specific 2'-O-methylation of substrate RNAs.
Source: Rfam by way of RNAcentral
CCCGAGGAUGAUGACCACCUUUUCGUUGAAGAACCGACCAUUGCUGCGGAAACACUUAUAUUUGCACGUCAGUCUGACUCUCGGG